Molecule: ribosomal RNA, 492 nt
Filed under: uncultured bacterium
Lineage: Bacteria
Description: partial 16S ribosomal RNA
Rfam family: Bacterial small subunit ribosomal RNA
Source: RNAcentral
AGUGAACGCUGGCGGUAGGCCUAACACAUGCAAGUCGAACGGCAGCACAGUAAGAGCUUGCUCUUACGGGUGGCGAGUGGCGGACGGGUGAGGAAUACAUCGGAAUCUACUUUUUCGUGGGGGAUAACGUAGGGAAACUUACGCUAAUACCGCAUACGACCUACGGGUGAAAGCAGGGGAUCUUCGGACCUUGCGCGAUUGAAUGAGCCGAUGUCGGAUUAGCUAGUUGGCGGGGUAAAGGCCCACCAAGGCGACGAUCCGUAGCUGGUCUGAGAGGAUGAUCAGCCACACUGGAACGGAGACACGGUCAAGACUCCUAAGGGAGGCAGCAGUGGGGAAUAUUGGACAAUGGGCGCAAGCAUGAUCCAGCCAGACCGCGUGGGUGAAGAAGGCCUUCGGGUUGUAAAGACCUUUUGUUGGGAAAGAAAAGCAGCAGGUUAAUACCCCGCUGUUCUGACGGUACCCAAAGAAUAAGCACCGGCUAACUUCGUG